AGCAGCUCCCCGCGCAGCGCGGCCGUAUUUGCGGCCUGUGCGAGUAGGCGCUUGGGCAUUCAGUCUCCCUGGCGAGCGGCGGGCAGAAAUCUCGAACCAGUGGAGCGCACUCGUAACCUGGAUCCCAGAAGGCCGCGAAGGCAGUACCGUUUCCUCAGCGGCGGACUGCUGCGGUAAGAAUGUCUUUUCCCCCUCAUUUGAAUCGCCCUCCCAUGGGAAUCCCAGCACUCCCACCAGGGAUCCCACCCCCGCAGUUUCCAGGAUUUCCUCCACCUGUACCUCCAGGGACCCCAAUGAUUCCUGUACCAAUGAGCAUUAUGGCUCCUGCUCCAACUGUCUUAGUACCCACCGUGUCUAUGGUUGGAAAGCAUUUGGGCGCAAGAAAGGAUCAUCCAGGCUUAAAGGCUAAAGAAAAUGAUGAAAAUUGUGGUCCUACUACUACUGUUUUUGUUGGCAACAUUUCUGAGAAAGCCUCAGACAUGCUUAUAAGACAACUCUUAGCUAAAUGUGGUUUGGUUUUGAGCUGGAAGAGAGUACAAGGUGCUUCCGGAAAGCUUCAAGCCUUCGGAUUCUGUGAGUACAAGGAGCCAGAAUCUACUCUCCGUGCACUCAGAUUAUUACAUGACCUGCAAAUUGGAGAGAAAAAGCUACUUGUUAAAGUUGAUGCAAAGACAAAGGCACAGCUGGAUGAAUGGAAAGCAAAGAAGAAAGCUUCUAAUGGGAAUGCAAGGCCAGAAACUGUCACUAAUGACGAUGAAGAAGCCUUGGAUGAAGAAACAAAGAGGAGAGAUCAGAUGAUUAAAGGGGCUAUUGAAGUUUUAAUUCGUGAAUACUCCAGUGAGCUAAAUGCCCCCUCACAGGAAUCUGAUUCUCACCCCAGGAAGAAGAAGAAGGAAAAGAAGGAGGACAUUUUCCGCAGAUUUCCAGUGGCCCCACUGAUCCCUUAUCCACUCAUCACUAAGGAGGAUAUAAAUGCUAUAGAAAUGGAAGAAGACAAAAGAGACCUGAUAUCUCGAGAGAUCAGCAAAUUCAGAGACACACAUAAGGUAGUAUUCUUGUCUUUUCACUUGAUACCAAUCUAGACUUUUUACAGAAUCCAAAGCAAAGAGACAAAAAAAUCAACCUUAAAUUAGAAUAUAAUUUUAAAUGUUUUUUAUAGGUUUAAUUGAUAUUUAGAUAGAAAAAAGAAACAGAAGACCAAUACCAUAUUAAAGUGGUCCUUGACAUGUUGUGCUUAGUUUUUUCAGUUACUGACUAUUCUGCAGUCAUCUCACUUUAAUAUGAAUAGAAGCUAAUUUUAUUUUUAGAUUUCAACAUAAACAUCAAGGUCAGACUUAAAUUAGAUUCAGGGGCAGCAGGAUAACAUACACUGUAGUGUAUUUCUGGGGGCAGUUAUUUAACUUGAUCUUAGGAAUACCUUUUCUUUAGAGCUGAGAUUAAAAUUUACAUUUUAUAUUUGUAUAGAUUUAAGUUGAGUGGGGGAGAUUUUAAAAAGUAGGUCAGUGGUUACCAGACUUACCAAAUUUUAGAUGCAUGGAAGAACUGUAAAUUCCCGUAAAGCUAAUCUAUUCAUUGACCCCCACCAUUAUGAUAGAGAUCAUAUGGUGACUAAUGCAAGAUGAAACUCUCAGCUUGGAAAGUAACAAGGAAUAGGAUGUAAGUAUGAGCUUCUGUUUUUUAUUAUAUUUAUGGAUGCCCCCUCAGAAAAAUAUGCAAAGGGGUAACUGGCUUGGAAAUGGGUAUUUAUGCAUAGUAAAUCCCACUCACGAGUUUUGCCUAUUUGAAGCUUCUCUCAAUGACAGUGCAUCUGUGAAUGUUCGCUGGUGUUGAAAAUGAUACUUUUGAACGGUGCAAUGCAAACACUGCAUGAAAUGUAUUUUGAUGGUAGAGGUAAUAAGGUGUUGCUGGUUCUUACUGAUAGACUGAGAGAUCUUUAACUCAGUGAAAUGUUAAAUGUUCAUUUUCUCUUUUAUUCUUACUUUUUCCCAUUGCUUUCAAAAUCUGCAGUUCACAAAUAAUGCCAAUGAAUCAGUGCUGCUGAACACUUACUAUCCAGAUGCCCAGCCCUUGCUCACAUACACAGUGCUUUUUCAAGAAUUAAAUGUGUCUAAGAGCACAAACAUAAUUCUCCCAAAAUUAAUUUUGAGAGUUGAAAAGGUGAUCUAUGGGAAAUCAUUUUAGAUGAAUAAUUUUGGUUAGGUAUAAUACUCAAAUUCAGGACCGAGUAAGCUUAAAAAUGGUAUAUGGUUGUGUGUGUGGUUUACCCCCUUUUUGUUUUUAUUUGUUAAACCCUGUCAUGUUAUUGGUAAAUUAUGAGGAAAUCAUGUUUUAAGAAAAAUUCAAAAAUAUAUUUGCUUUAAAGUUUGGGAAUCUGUCAGGCAUUUUACUGCCUUAGUAUUAUUUCACUGGAGGGAAUGUUUUGAAUUUUCAGAAUGUCUUUUCAAAAUAAAAAAUCAAAAUAAAAAACCAAAACAGUUGUUUUUUAUUGGGUGGUUUGGCUAAAAGGGUUGUUUGAAACUCCAGUAACAAAAAAUGAGCUCAGUGAACCUUUGCAUGUUUUGGUAUGAGUUUAUUAAAUAACCACAGACUGUCAGGGUAUCAGCGUGGCAGGGGGCGUCCAUUUACAGCACGGAUGAGUCUGAAGAGAGAAUAAGGUAAGAUUUAUGAUUUUUUUAAUCUGUCCUUUCCUCUUCAUGACUUUCUUACAUAAUUUUAGACUCGCCUCAUUUCCCUUCUCCAGUCUUUCUUUAAAAAUAUACAUGUAUAUGUUUACAUGUAUACCUAUAUUUAUAUACAUGUGUGUAUAUAUAUAUAUAUAUCUCAUAUAUAAACUUUAGGAAACAUUUAGUAUGGACUAGAUUCACUCACUUUUUCAUUUACUUAGAACCAAACUUUUGAAAUGAGUUCUGAAACAAAUGGUUAUUUAUAUAACUGAAUAUAAGGAGCACAGUGAAAUAAGCAAGAAUUAAAAAUUGAGGAAUUCUACAGGAAAAAUUAGUAGUGGAACAGCUAAAAUAUUCUGUAAGUAUCUAUUUCAGAAAUAAACAAAUUUCUUUAUAAGUGUAUGCCAUUGAGGUAAGUUUUAUAUAGUCUAGCCUUAUUUUACAAUAUAAAUUUUUGUAUUCAUUAGAACUGUUUCAGAAAUGAGAUUUUUUCCCCCUUUAAUAGCUGUUAGUUUCUGUCCUCUUUCUAUCAUAUCUCAUUUCAUCCCUUUGUAAUUUCAAUGUAUUCAGUUUUGACUUUGCCUGUAUUCUACUUCGAUAUAGACUGGCACAGCAACUGAAUAUAUUGCUCAUACAUUAGCUUUUCUUUCAUAACCUGCUAUCAGUUCUCUGAUCCAUGAGGAAGAGAAAAAGAGUAUCUGACAGGUAAGAUUGCUUUUUAAAGUUGUUUUAAAUUCAUUACAUGACUGAGAAAAGAAAAAUGCACAUUUUAUUGUUGCAGUUUAAAAUUUCAUUUUGGUGAAACUAAACGUGAAACAAAAGGGAUAAAUGUGUUUUGUUUUGUUUUGUUUUACCUGUUCGGGGUAUUUUUUUCUGAGUUUGUGUAGAAACCGUGUGGUACACUGGUAAUCUUGUCAGGGUACAAACUUGGUCUGACUUUGUUAUUUGGUUUAUUUGUGAACCAUGUACUUGCUCUUCCUCCCAGAAACAUAGCUUGUAGGCAAGGUUAAUCCAGUGUUGGCGAUCCAUGUCCUAGCACAGCAUCUGUAAGUUAAUGCACAAUCGUUCCUUCCAAGGAUGGAUUUAUCAUUGUAAAUAUAUUUUCAUUGUCUUACAGGCAUAAUGGGCAUAAGUAUAUUGCUUUUAAAUAUUUUAAAUGAAACUAUUACAGUUACAUAUAUUUUGCUUGAAGUGAGUGAUUUUCAAACUUUUUGUAUUUGGUGGGCUGUCCAUCUUGUAAUGGUGGGAGUAAAUGUUUCCAUAGAUGAUAAGGCAGUUCUUGGCUGAAUUCAGGUUGUGUUUCUUUUGGAGGGUGGGCAAAUCAGAGGGCAGAGAUUAUUUAGUUGCAUUAUAGGUAUUCUUCUAUACCACUUGUCCUUUGAAACCCUCAACUUGAGGUAAUGCACAGUCUGGGGUUUUAAUUAGUAUUAAUAAUUUUGUGGAUUUACAGAAAUCCAUAAUGGACAGAGUUGAGUUUUAACCAAUGAUCGUAUUUAUAGAAAAUAUUUCGAACCACCACAUUCUUCAUGGUCAUUUUAGUUAGUACAUAGUCAUUGAGUGGCCAGCCACACCUGACAAAAUCUCCCAGCAUCCAAGAUUGGAGAUUCCUGGUCUGUGUAGAGUAUAUGGUUUUGCACGAAAUCUUUCUAGUCUUGUGAUUGCUUCAGUUUAAUCUGUCACAUAAAACCACAAGUAUUUAAUAUUAAUGUAUCAGUGGUUUGGUGUUUUUGUUCCCAGUACUGGGCAUUGCGCCGGGAAAAAUCUGAAUACUGGAGCUACAGAGUUAACUCUAAAAGUGCUUUUAUUGGUUUCUAGAAACUGGAAGAAGAGAAAGGCAAAAAGGAAAAAGAAAGACAGGAAAUUGAGAAAGAACGGAGAGAAAGAGAGAGGGAGCGUGAAAGGGAACGAGAAAGGCGAGAACGGGAACGAGAAAGGGAAAGAGAACGUGAACGAGAAAAGGAGAAAGAACGGGAGCGGGAACGAGAACGGGAUAGGGACCGUGACCGGACAAAAGAGAGAGACCGAGAUCGGGAUCGAGAGAGAGAUCGUGACCGGGAUAGAGAAAGGAGCUCAGAUCGUAAUAAGGAUCGCAGUCGAUCAAGAGAAAAAAGCAGAGAUCGUGAAAGGGAACGAGAGCGGGAAAGAGAGAGAGAGAGAGAACGAGAGCGAGAACGAGAACGGGAGCGAGAGAGAGAGCGAGAGAGGGAACGGGAGCGAGAAAGAGAAAAAGACAAAAAACGGGACCGAGAAGAAGAUGAAGAAGAUGCAUACGAACGAAGAAAACUUGAAAGAAAACUCCGAGAGAAAGAAGCUGCUUAUCAAGAGCGCCUUAAGAAUUGGGAAAUCAGAGAACGAAAGAAAACCCGGGAAUAUGAGAAAGAAGCUGAAAGAGAAGAAGAAAGAAGAAGAGAAAUGGCCAAAGAAGCUAAACGACUAAAAGAAUUCUUAGAAGACUAUGAUGAUGAUAGAGAUGACCCCAAAUAUUACAGAGGAAGUGCUCUUCAGAAAAGGUUGCGUGAUAGAGAAAAGGAAAUGGAAGCAGAUGAACGAGAUAGGAAGAGAGAGAAGGAGGAGCUUGAGGAAAUCAGGCAGCGCCUUCUGGCAGAAGGCCAUCCAGAUCCAGAUGCAGAGCUUCAGAGGAUGGAACAAGAGGCUGAGAGGCGCAGGCAGCCACAAAUAAAGCAAGAGCCAGAAUCAGAAGAGGAGGAAGAAGAAAAGCAAGAAAAAGAAGAAAAACGAGAAGAACCCAUGGAAGAGGAAGAGGAGCCAGAGCAAAAGCCUUGUCUGAAACCUACUCUGAGGCCCAUCAGCUCUGCUCCAUCUGUUUCCUCUGCCAGUGGCAAUGCAACACCUAACACUCCUGGGGAUGAGUCUCCCUGUGGUAUUAUUAUUCCUCAUGAAAACUCACCAGAUCAACAGCAACCUGAGGAGCAUAGGCCAAAAAUAGGACUAAGUCUUAAACUGGGUACGUUAGCAUUUCCUUCCUUCUUUAUUUUCUUCCCUUCACCCCUGCAAAUACCUGUAUUGUGCUUUAAGGAAAAAAAUUUAUAUUUGUGCUUGGUUAGGUAGAUAGAAGAUUACUAAAAAAUGCCUUUCUAGCUCACGAUUGUUUUCAUAGUUUUACUAGUGCUCCUAUAUCUGCAGCUGCCUCGAGUUCUGAGAAGAAGUGAAAAGUUUAAUUUUCUAGCACUUGUGAGUAGUGAGUUAUUUUUUACAGUUGGGAUCUUUCUCUAAGAUUUGUGGAAGUAUAUUUUGCAUUGCUUUUGAGGGAUGGUGGGUUAUAAAAUGAAACAUUUGGAAAUUAGGUCAUCUUGCUAAGAGAGUGUUUUUACUGUAGGUGCUUCCAAUAGUCCUGGUCAGCCUAAUUCUGUGAAGAGAAAGAAACUACCUGUAGAUAGUGUCUUUAACAAAUUUGAGGAUGAAGACAGUGAUGACGUACCCCGAAAAAGGAAACUGGUUCCCUUGGAUUAUGGUGAAGAUGAUAAAAAUGCAGCCAAAGGCACUGUAAACACUGAAGAAAAGCGUAAACACAUUAAGAGUCUCAUUGAGAAAAUCCCUACAGCCAAACCUGAGCUCUUCGCUUAUCCCCUGGAUUGGUCUAUUGUGGAUUCUAUACUGAUGGAACGUCGAAUUAGACCAUGGAUUAAUAAGAAAAUCAUAGAAUAUAUAGGUGAAGAAGAAGCUACAUUAGUUGAUUUUGUUUGUUCUAAGGUUAUGGCUCAUAGUUCACCCCAGAGCAUUUUAGAUGAUGUUGCCAUGGUACUUGAUGAAGAAGCAGAAGUUUUUAUAGUCAAAAUGUGGAGAUUAUUGAUAUAUGAAACAGAAGCCAAGAAAAUUGGUCUUGUGAAGUAAAACUUUUUAUAUUUAGAGUUCCAUUUCAGAUUUCUUCUUCUCCACCCUUUUAAGGACUUUGAAUUUUUCUUUGUCUUUGAAGACAUUGUGAGAUCUGUAAUUUUUUUUUUAUUGUAGAAAAUGUGAAUUUUUUGGUCCUCUAAUUUGUUGUUGCCCUGUGUACUCCCUUGGUUGUAAAGUCAUCUGAAUCCUUGGUUCUCUUUAUACUCACCAGGUACAAAUUACUGGUAUGUUUUAUAAGCCGCAGCUACUGUACACAGCCUAUCUGAUAUAAUCUUGUUCUGCUGAUUUGUUUCUUGUAAAUAUUAAAACAACUCCCCAAUUA
Molecule: small RNA, 6840 nt
Filed under: Pongo abelii (Sumatran orangutan)
Lineage: Eukaryota; Metazoa; Chordata; Mammalia; Primates; Hominidae
Description: retained intron
Source: RNAcentral